UGGGAAGGACGGCUUGUCCCCUGGAUGCC
Molecule: non-coding RNA, 29 nt
Filed under: Mus musculus (house mouse)
Lineage: Eukaryota; Metazoa; Chordata; Mammalia; Rodentia; Muridae
Source: RNAcentral